Molecule: ribosomal RNA, 466 nt
Filed under: uncultured bacterium
Lineage: Bacteria
Description: partial 16S ribosomal RNA
Rfam family: Bacterial small subunit ribosomal RNA
Source: RNAcentral
GAUGAACGCUGGCGGCGUGCUUAACACAUGCAAGUCGAACGGAAAGGCUCCUGCUUGCAGGGGUACUUGAGUGGCGAACGGGUGAGUAACACGUGGGUGAUCUGCCCUGCACUUCGGGAUAAGCCUGGGAAACUGGGUCUAAUACCGGAUAGGACGAUGGUUUGGAUGCCAUUGUGGAAAGUUUUUCGGUGUGGGAUGAGCUCGCGGCCUAUCAGCUUGUUGGUGGGGUAAUGGCCUACCAAGGCGUCGACGGGUAGCCGGCCUGAGAGGGUGUACGGCCACAUUGGGACUGAGAUACGGCCCAGACUCCUACGGGAGGCAGCAGUGGGGAAUAUUGCACAAUGGGCGCAAGCCUGAUGCAGCGACGCCGCGUGGGGGAUGACGGCCUUCGGGUUGUAAACUCCUUUCGCUAGGGACGAAGCGUUUUGUGACGGUACCUGGAGAAGAAGCACCGGCUAACUACGUG